ACUCACAACAUCUCAGGUGGAUGUCACGGAAUUAUAUGAGGAAGACAUGUCCAGGAGGGAAGGAAAUGUCCCCUACCUUUCUGACUGGGUAGAGGGAUAUGAUGUUGUGUAUCAUCAUGGAGAAUGAAACUUAUUGUAUUGUCUAGAAAAUAUCAAACUACAAAUUAUAUUGUGAGAUGAUCCACUGAAGAAAUGUGCCCUUGGCUUGUGAACUUUUCCCAGCUAAUCAUUGAUCCUCAGCCUUAGGCAGGAGCAAAGAAGGACUUAGAAAUGGGGAGUUAAUGCCACUUAGACAACUGUCAACCAAUGGAAGAUGAGAGUAGGUGAGGAAAUGCUCUGGUGUAUUUUGUUGCCUCGGAAAAGAUUCUGAAGCAUGUUCCAGAUGUCCCAGGCAUUUACAGGAUGCAGUUUGGCUGCAGUGAAGUAUCAUCAGCAACAGCAGAGCUUCUGAGGCUUUGUCAAGAAUUUAAAGCCAAUGAUUUUCAUGGAAGACAAGCCCAUGUUUAAUUUCUGGUAUGCAUCUGACAAGAGGGAAGUCAUUUCUGUAUAUGAAUGUCUCUUUCA
Talpa occidentalis (Iberian mole) is the source of this 564-nucleotide long non-coding RNA. RefSeq lists it as uncharacterized. NCBI's taxonomy places the organism in Eukaryota, Metazoa, Chordata, Mammalia, Eulipotyphla, Talpidae. The transcript has 5 exons. The record is from RefSeq and is a predicted model, not a curated record.